AGACACUUGUUUUUGCAAACGUAUAAUUACGUUUUCUACACCAAAACCCUUUAAAUCCCUGUUAGGACCCCA
RNAcentral lists this transfer RNA (72 nucleotides) under Strigomonas oncopelti. RNAcentral describes it as "tRNA-Val". The record is from RNAcentral. Lineage: Eukaryota; Euglenozoa; Kinetoplastea; Trypanosomatida; Trypanosomatidae.